GGGUUUUCAGCCAACUCGAUUGCGGGAUAUGAGAACCAAGGAUCUCCCGCUUAGACUCCAAUUCAGAGCAGGGGACACAAGAAGCAAUACGCGGAAAGCCACGCAAUCGCGCCACCAACGCACCAGGGUUUUGCUUGAUUUUUUUUCCAGUUUCUCGUCUGUUUCCUUUUUUUUCUCCGCAUUUUUAAGUACCCUCUUGUAUCAUCGGUACUCAAUAAAAAGUAUUUAUGUUCCUCUACUCAGAGUCCUCUUCUUUUACUUACCCUGAUACGGUCGCAUCAAAACUCAAAGCUGGCUGCGUCCAAUCGACCCCGAACUUGUCAUUGGACGCACCCGACACUCAGGAGCUGC
RNAcentral lists this long non-coding RNA (351 nucleotides) under Brachypodium distachyon (stiff brome). Its description in RNAcentral is "long non-coding RNA (BDIS_LNC000841)". Lineage: Eukaryota; Viridiplantae; Streptophyta; Magnoliopsida; Poales; Poaceae. The record is from RNAcentral.